GUUCAGGAGAAAUGGGGCUUUCAUUUCACAUCAAAUAUUUUAUAUGGAACAAUUUAAUAUGAAUAAAAAAAGUGAGAAAUUAAGAAAUUUUAUUUUAACUGUGAAAGUCAUAAUACUGUUAAAUUUUACUGCAAUGAAGCACAUAUCUGUAUGCUCUGAUGCCGCCCAUGUACAUGUUUAUGGUGUUUUGGAAAGGGACAGUAUUAAAUGUACACAUUGAGAUUUGCCAGAUUGGUUAUGUUGCCUUUGAGACCUUAAGGAAUGAAAAUUAUCCCCAUCAUGGCAUAGCAUUUGCAAAAUUAGACAACCAAUUUUAUUCACAAUGGGGUAUGUUGUCUUUUUAUUUAAAUAUUUUUACAGUAGCUACAUUGUAAAAUCUAGCUUGCUUUAUGUAAAAAGGUUACAUAAAUAUACCUAAACAUACAUGUAGA
Pelobates cultripes (western spadefoot toad) is the source of this 431-nucleotide non-coding RNA. Lineage: Eukaryota; Metazoa; Chordata; Amphibia; Anura; Pelobatidae. The record is from the annotation of a GenBank genome assembly.